RNAcentral lists this ribosomal RNA (254 nucleotides) under uncultured bacterium. RNAcentral describes it as "partial 16S ribosomal RNA". It matches the Rfam family "Bacterial small subunit ribosomal RNA", at positions 524 to 776 of the family's 1533-position model. The record is from RNAcentral.
UACGUAGGGUGCGAGCGUUAAUCGGAAUUACUGGGCGUAAAGCGUGCGCAGGCGGUUAUGUAAGACAGUUGUGAAAUCCCCGGGCUCAACCUGGGAAUUGCAUCUGUGACUGCAUAGCUAGAGUACGGUAGAGGGGGAUGGAAUUCCGCGUGUAGCAGUGAAAUGCGUAGAUAUGCGGAGGAACACCGAUGGCGAAGGCAAUCCCCUGGACCUGUACUGACGCUCAUGCACGAAAGCGUGGGGGAGCAAACAGG